AGAGUUUGAUCCUGGCUCAGGAUGAACGCUAGCGGCAGGCUUAACACAUGCAAGUCGAGGGGUAACAGGGAGAAGCUUGCUUUUCCGCUGACGACCGGCGCACGGGUGCGUAACGCGUAUAGAACCUACCUUUUACAGGAGAAUAGCCUUUAGAAAUGAAGAUUAAUGCUCCAUAGUAUCAUUGAAUGGCAUCGUUUAAUGAUUAAACAUUUAUGGGUAAAAGAUGGCUAUGCGUUCUAUUAGCUAGUAGGUAAGGUAACGGCUUACCUAGGCGACGAUAGAUAGGGGCCCUGAGAGGGGGAUCCCCCACACUGGUACUGAGACACGGACCAGACUCCUACGGGAGGCAGCAGUGAGGAAUAUUGGGCAAUGGAGGCAACUCUGACCCAGCCAUGCCGCGUGCAGGAAGACGGCCCUAUGGGUUGUAAACUGCUUUUAUAUAGGAAGAAACCUUUCCACGUGUGGGGAGCUGACGGUACUAUAUGAAUAAGCACCGGCUAACUCCGUGCCAGCAGCCGCGGUAAUACGGAGGGUGCAAGCGUUAUCCGGAAUCAUUGGGUUUAAAGGGUCCGUAGGCGGAUUAAUAAGUCAGAGGUGAAAUCCCACAGCUUAACUGUGGAACUGCCUUUGAUACUGUUAGUCUUGAGUUAUAUGGAAGUAGAUAGAAUGUGUAGUGUAGCGGUGAAAUGCUUAGAGAUUACACAGAAUACCGAUUGCGAAGGCAGUCUACUACGUAUAUACUGACGCUAAUGGACGAAAGCGUGGGGGAGCGAACAGGAUUAGAUACCCUGGUAGUCCACGCCGUAAACGAUGGACACUAGUUGUUGGARUUAUUCAGUGACUAAGCGAAAGUGA
Molecule: ribosomal RNA, 855 nt
Filed under: uncultured bacterium
Lineage: Bacteria
Description: bacterial SSU rRNA
Rfam family: Bacterial small subunit ribosomal RNA
Source: RNAcentral